This 117-nucleotide non-coding RNA is filed under the name Pan troglodytes (chimpanzee). The record is from Rfam by way of RNAcentral. Lineage: Eukaryota; Metazoa; Chordata; Mammalia; Primates; Hominidae.
GCCAGGUGUGGUGGCUCACGCCUGUAAUCCCAGCACUUUGGGAGGCUGAGGCGGGUGGAUCACCUGAGGUCAGGAGUUCGAGACCAGCCUGGCCAAUAUGGUGAAACCCCGUCUCUA